This 293-nucleotide ribosomal RNA is filed under the name uncultured eukaryote. RNAcentral describes it as "partial 18S ribosomal RNA". It matches the Rfam family "Eukaryotic small subunit ribosomal RNA", at positions 6 to 298 of the family's 1831-position model. The record is from RNAcentral.
GGUUGAUCCUGCCAGUAGUCAUAUGCUUGUCCUAAAGAUUAAGCCAUGCAUGUCUAAGUAUAAACACGUUGUACUGUGAAACUGCGAAUGGCUCAUUAUAUCAGUGAUAAUUUAUUUGAUAGUCUCAUUACUACUUGGAUAACCGUGGUAAUUCUAGAGCUAAUACAUGCAAAAGGCCCGACUGGCACGUUCGCGUGCGGGGAAGGGCUGUAUUUAUUAGAUUAAAAACCGACAUUGUUGGUGAUUCAUGAUAACUGUGCGGAUCGCAUGGCCUUGCGCCGGCGACGGUUCAU